Molecule: long non-coding RNA, 381 nt
Organism: Brienomyrus brachyistius
Lineage: Eukaryota; Metazoa; Chordata; Actinopteri; Osteoglossiformes; Mormyridae
Exons: 3
Source: RefSeq, a predicted model, not a curated record
AGCAGUUCUGGAGGCUAAGGGCCUUGCUCACCGGCAUAGCAGACACGUGACAAUCAGGCCAAGGAUGGGACCCAGAGUGGAGGCUCACAGAAGGAAGCUGGAAUAUCCAGAGGACACCCACACCAUACAAGAUGAACGUGAAAAGCUUCAGACAGACAUGGCAGGAUUCAAACCCCCAACCCUGGGAUCGCGAACCAGCUUGCAGCCAUAUAUCCACAGCAAUUGCAAAAACUGAGGGGGUGAAGGUGCACCCUGCAGUGAUGGAAAAAUGGAGGAAUGUGAAGUUUUUCCACCUUCCCACCUCGACCGAAGCGAGCAGCCUUUUUCCCCAGGAAAAAUGCAUGCAGAGCAGCAUUCCAGAGCCCUGCACUGGGCCCAUAU